GUUGUUUUCUCGAAAAUCAAUUAAAAAGAGUUGGAUUUUGUAUUGUUAAGACCUUAUCAGCUUACUGUACUUUUUUCUUGAUUCUUUUUAAUGCACUUUUCGUUUAACAAGUCAACAUCAAUUUCUUUUGUUGUAAAAGGGUCAUUGGAAGGUGGCUUUCACUUCGGUGAAAGUGUUUAUAGCCUUUGGCUUCUACAAUCGGAGAGAUUGAGGUCUGCAGCGUAGAUCCUUCGGGGUUAGAUACGUAGAUGCUAAGUUAUAGUUUUUUAUAGACAACUUGUUGACUAUGAUUAAUCAUGUAGCUUACUCGUUUGCGCUAUUUUACCUAC
This 329-nucleotide ribosomal RNA is filed under the name uncultured Neocallimastigales. Its description in RNAcentral is "partial large subunit ribosomal RNA". Lineage: Eukaryota; Fungi; Neocallimastigomycota; Neocallimastigomycetes; Neocallimastigales. The record is from RNAcentral.